RNAcentral lists this small nucleolar RNA (157 nucleotides) under Cavia porcellus (domestic guinea pig). RNAcentral's name for it is "Small nucleolar RNA SNORA57 (ENSCPOG00000029528.2)". The stretch from base 1 to 123 matches the Rfam family "Small nucleolar RNA SNORA57". From Rfam's summary of the family: U99 belongs to the H/ACA class of snoRNAs which are thought to guide the sites of modification of uridines to pseudouridines, the target for this family is unknown. The record is from RNAcentral. Lineage: Eukaryota; Metazoa; Chordata; Mammalia; Rodentia; Caviidae.
CUUCCAUUUCUUGGUGGAGAUGAGGUGCGCAGUUCUGCUCCCCUGUUAGGUAUGGAGGCAAAAGGGUUUCUGGCCCUCUCAAGGUCCUGUCAGCCAAUUCUGUCCUCUAGUAUUGCAACAGACUCUGGGGGAAAAAAGAAUGUACCUUGUGAAAGGU